This is a non-coding RNA of Cordylochernes scorpioides, 8993 nucleotides long. The record is from the annotation of a GenBank genome assembly. Lineage: Eukaryota; Metazoa; Arthropoda; Arachnida; Pseudoscorpiones; Chernetidae.
AAGGUGAGCCCCUCUCCCUCUCAACGAACUGAAUCUGGCCUCUCUGCCAUACAGUCAGGCAAAACAAACUCUCAUGGACCUCUAUCCCGGAAAAUCCGAGGUCACUUUCACCAAAUUUUUAACUUUUAAAUUGACUAGUCAGAUCCAAUUAGGAGACUAUUACCGCCAAAAAAUAACUAUGGGAUUACAACUGGGCCUAACCAAUCCUAUCAUAGUGGAAGCAUUAACGGAAGGCCUCCAAGCCAGUGAUCAGCGCGCUCAUGAGGGCCAUAGCCCCUAAAACCCUGACCGAAUGGUACUCUACCAUGACUAGAAUAAAAGGGACCAAUUUACUCCCUACUCAUGGCGCCAACGACUGCUGCCUCUUCCAGCGAGAAUCCAGCCAACUAGCCUCGCUCAACUGGGCCGACAGCGAGAUGGCGGAGGUGGACGCCAACGAAGGCUUCAUCGUCAUCAGGAGAAACAGGCGACUCGCCUCAACGUCAUCUGAGCACGCUGCAAGGCAGCCCAACAAGCCUGGAGAGCAGCGCAGCUCCCAGCAGCGGAAACAGCCAACAGGACCAAGAACAGUGCCGCCUCAGGAGAUCAAGGUGACGCGCGCCAACAUCGCCGAGGCCAAGGCGAGGCAGACCUCUUCUAGCCACGAAAACUACAUCUUCGUGGAACUGUGCCCUGACAUCCCGGACUACUCCUACCUCAAGGCAAUGAGCAAGCUGGUCGGUGGGCCUGGAGGCAUAACACAAUUUAACAGGAUGGACAGCCACUACAUCGUGGGCAUGGCGACCAAGGAUCUUGCGCGCCUUCUAGUUGAAGGCGGCCUAGAGAUCGAUGGAACGACCCUUAGGGUCUUCCCCUACUGCAAGAGGGCCGAGCGAAUCAUCGUCGCCAACCUGCCCGGCUUUGUGGAGGACAGCCCGUCAGGAACGCUCUGUACCCAUACGGGAAGGUCACCUCCAUCGCCCCCAUCCUGGUCAAAAUGGGGGAGUUCACCUUCACCGACUGCCGCCGGGAGGCCUUCAUCCUGCUCAACGACGGCAUCAAACUGGACAGGCUACCCACUCGCCUGGACAUCAAGUCCAAAGGAGACUCCGUGCCUGCCUUCCUCUCCUUUGGCAUCAAGUGCUCAAAAUGCGGAAACAAGGCCACCGCAGAGCCAACUGCCCAGCACUCACCAGGCAGAACAGCAGCCCCAGGCAAGCAAGGUCUCCCACCGACACAUGCCCCCUCCUCCUCCCCCUCAGAAGCCAAAGAAACCCGCACCUGCGCCUGCUACAUCGGCGUCCCCUGUUCCACCGGCGGAGACAUCAACCGGGGCUCCUGCAAUCCCCUCGGCGCCCUAGCCGAACCAAAGGAUCUCGCCCAGCCCGCCCCUGCUGCCCACCCUGCUCCUCUCGCUGCCCCCCGGGGCUGGGACCCUACCGCUCGACUGCGAGAUAACGGGCGAGGAGGAAAUUUCAACCUCUUCCACGUCUUCCCAGAAGCGCCGCGCAUACAAUCAGCUGCAGAAAUACAUCAAGAGACCCCCAACCUCUCCACCGACCGCUCCCUCGGCCACCGUUACUGGUGCUGCCGUACCAUCUGGCCUCUCAUCAGAGAGGCCUUCAACAUCAUAGGGCGGCCUCCUGCAGGCUUGGAUCUUCGGCGGGUCCGGCCUUGAGGACAACGCCCUUUCCAUCCUGGCGUCGGCAAAGUUGCGAGUUUAUUGCUACUUUGUCCAGGUUGGGCUCGGAGGAGCAGUGGAGGACCCGCUCAUCGCCUGGUCCAGGACCCUCCAGUGCAGAGAUCUCCUUCUUCCUAUGUAAAUUUGUAAAAUAUGUUUCAUAUUGUAUAUUUCCUCUACUCCUUUAUGUAAUAUAUUCUCUCUCUCUCUUUGUUUAAAAAUGUAAUAUUGUCUAGAAGACAAUAAAUAAUUUUUAAUUGUCAUACAUACAUACAUACACGGCCGUGCGGCCACGCUUUGGUCGAGCUCCGCCUUUUUUCCACCCUGGCGGGUGUAUGAACGUUGGUGCCACGUCAAGUUUGGUAUGGGCAGAUAGCCCAUUUGAUGCCGAUCAAUUGCCUGUAAGGCACGGCUUAAUAUCUCAAACCGAUGCGGAAAUAUCUGCGAAAAACCAAUUGCAGAUUGACAAUUCAAUCGAAAUGCAAGAAUCGGCCAGUAAUGCAAAUCUGCCUACUAGCGAACGAUAUGCAAAAUCUGCCGUGUCGCACGAAUUUGCCGCUACAAUGCCUUCGUCUGGCGCACUUCCAAGCCGACAGAACUGGGCGGAAAUAUCUGAGGAUCAAGGUCCUGUUUCUGGAGACGACUUUACCGUCGUUCAAAACAAAAGAAAACGCCGCAACACGGGAGCGCCGGGCGUUACGGCCGCACAGUCCAACGGCGCUGGAUCGGCUACUGGGCGACGGAGAUCCUCGCCUACAUGGGUGCGGCAGGUCCAGGAGAUCAGGACCACGAGGGCGCACAUCGUGGAAGCCAGAGCUCGCCAGGCGUCCUGCAACGAGGAGCAGUGCCUCUACCUGGAGUACUGCCCGGACUAUCAGACAUAUCAAUACCUAAAAGCCAUUGAAAGAGUCGUCGGAGGAUCCAAGAACGUUGUCCAAUUUGCCAAGGUAAAUGGGCACUACUUGCUGGGACUCACCAGCAGAUCCCUGGCGGAACGGCUGAUCCGGGAGGGCCUUGAGGCCGGGAACCCUCAUUAGAACCUUCCCCUUUAGGAAGAGCUCCAUCAAAAUCACAAUAGGGAACCUACCCUUCUUUGUGGAGGACGCCGCCGUGAUCAAUGCCCUCUCCCGAUUUGGACGAAUCACCUCGAUCGCCCCCAAACUGCUAAGGGCUGGCGAAUUUGACUUCACUGACGGCCGUCGGGAGGCUUUUAUUCUCCUCCACGACGGCGUUACCGUUGACAAGCUUCCCACCCGCUUUGAAAUUAAAAUUAAAGGUGAGGCCUGGCCGGCCUACCUUACAUAUGGCAUCAAAUGCUCUAGAUGCCACGGACAGGGACACAGAAGAGCCAACUGCCCCCUUCUCACGGGCAGUCCACCACCUCCAGACGGGCUCCACCGCCCUCUCCCAACAAACUCCAACCACUGACCGCGCCUGGACUGCCUAAACGGUUCUCGGCCGCGCCUGCGCCAGCACCUCCCAGUCCAGCUGUCGAGGAUUCUGGCGCUUCUCCUGCCGCCCGAGCUGUGACUCCAUCUACAGCACCUCGGCCAUCUCCACCAGCGGCCCCGACCUUACCUAUGGAGGAGGCGUCUCCUGCCCCUCCACCUGUGACCCCUGCUCCGUCCCUGCGGGCACCUGUGAGUCACGUGCCUGCAGCCCCAACACCGGACGUUGAGAUGUCCAUCAUCGAGGAGAUUUCUACAUCCUCCACAUCCUCGUCAAAACAUCAACGAGAGAAGGCCUCGUGACUUUCAUCGAGAGGAAUCCGGGCGUCUCCUUUGCCCAGACUUGGCCUCGGGCGGGAGGAGGUCUUGGACAUCCUCUCCUCAAAGACCAAGGCUCGGAAGCGGGGACCCCUCCUGUCACCCUCGCAGGGCGGCGCUCUCGCCGGCCUAAUCCGUCAACUCUUGGGCCAGAGGCCCGGAGGGGAUAGUAACAUCUAUAAAGUCCUGCGUCAGGUCUUGUCAGAGCUGAGGACCGCCCCUACUGCAGUGCCUUCAACACCCCCACUGCCUGCGCCUCGGCCUUCUGGGCCAACGGCGCCUACUUCCCACAGCGAAGAACUGAUGCCUGCUGUGAUGACACCUCCGCCGCCCGCCCCGACGGAGAUGGAGGAGGACAAUCCGAUGACGGAAAAAGAGCGUUUGUGCACCCCCACCGCCUGCGCCUCGGCUCGCUGAGCCGACACCACCCACUCCCCAUGGGGAAGAGCUAACACCGGCCAUGGCGACACCUCCGCCUCCACUGCCAUUCCUGACCCAGGUGGAGCUGAGACUAAGUGCGUAGACCGGAUAUUUGACCUGUUCAAAGAGCAGAACUAUCAACAGGCCUUGGGGCCCCUACUCAAGAAGGGCUAGAUAUUGACAACCUCUCACAUUCGAUCGUGGUGGCUCAAGAGUAGGGAGUACCUCCUCAAGUCUCUCAGAUCUAGACCCAGACACAAAGCCACUCUCGCCGAGUUUCUCGGCACUGUCGCCGAACAUGCUCACGAUGACCACCUCUUAAUUCAAAGGGGAAUAUACGAGCUCAGGCUGGCUCUGCGCUCCUAACAGAAUCAAGAUUAUUGUAAAUUUUUGUACUUUCUCCCAUUGACUUUGGGUGUAAUCAUUGACUAAAAGUCAAUAAAAUUAUUUAAUUGUCAAUUGUCAUACAUACAUACAUACAUACAUACAUACAUAUACAUACAUACAUACAUACAUACAUACAUACAUACAUACAUACAUACAUACAAAACAUACUUUGUUUACAAAAUAAAUAUUUUAUAAAGAUUUAAAAUAUAUAUUUAUAUAUAUUUGAAAAAUGGGAAGAAAAGGCAAAUUCAAAUUAUCCGCAACAAGAAAUCUCGCAAUGGCAUUCACGACCGCCGUUGGAGCAUGGCUCUCCAACUGGCCCUGCCGUUGGACUCGGGCGAAACUUCCCACUCCAUCAUCCUGGAAAUGAUUAAUUCAUCAGACCAGAUAAGGGAGACAGUGGCUGAAACCUUGAAGGAUCUGACGCCCAAAGAAUUGGGUACCCUGAUGGAACAGUCAUUCAACUGGUUGGCCAACUUCCCCCUCCAACGCCACCCAGCCAUCUUCAUUUUAUGCCACCUGUCCCAGACCAAGAGCUACCAGGAACUACUACAAAUAUAUCCUGAGUUCGAGGACAAAAGGCCUUUCCUUCUUGGCUCAGCUUGAGGAUUUCCAGAGCGAAUCAACCAGGAUCUUGGAGCCUCCGAGACAUUUUGGAGAUGACUGUCAUGACAGACAAACUACUUAAACCUUAAUAUUACUAAAAUUGGUUAUUAAAAAUUAUUCUUUAGUUAAUACAUACAUACAUACAUACAUAGUGGACUACCUAGUGGACUAGGCAGUACCCGACCCUACCAUUAUCAAUUGCUAAUAAAACAUUUCUCAGAAAUGUUGCGUUAUCAGAAGACUAAAGUCUUCGAAUCCAAAGGCUCUUCUCAGAGCCAUCGUGAUGAGGACGACGACGAACAGUCCUCACGCCCACCCCCCAGAGACCAAUGGUCACGUGGUGACCAAGGAGGUCGGGGAGGCCGCGGAGGCGGCCGACGAAACCAGCAGCGUGGAGCUCCUGCUGGAGGUGGAAAACCAAGCUCCAACCAGUCGCUGCGGUGGUGGCGGACCACAUGACAACACCAACAACAAGAAGCCGCCACAACAACAAUAGGGGCCCCCAGCCCCGCAACACAUCUCCAAGACCAGCUCCAUGGUCACCAAUGAGUGCCUGUGGAAGGAAGCAUUCUUCCCACACCCUGGCUAUGACCUGCGCCCCUCGCCCCAACCCAACAUCUUCCAUCCCGGGGGCCGACGGGUUCAGCCACCUCAUUCAUGAGGUGUACAAUGCCAUUGUGGCCAAGACUCCCACUUUUGGAAGAGCCGUCCCUGAGUCGGCUUUCGCUUACUAUUGUGAGGUGGUGCUUUAACGCCCGCCUCCUUUUCAUCCACGGGAAGAACCAGUUCCUGGAGUCCCUGGAGGAGAGGGAUUUUGUCCAAAGGGUGGUCGAAGCCGACUACCCACUACCAGAGCCCGUCCAUGACUACGUCAUGGGUUUCGGGAAUGUGACCCUACCCAGCGGAGGCCUUGUGCAGCUGCGGCUGCCCACCCGGACCUUCGAAACUAACACCGUCGUAGGCUGGUUUGGCUGUGUGACCCAGGGACCACCCACUACAUCUACAAGUCCAUCCCUUGCCUGGCCCGUCUUCGCCUUCAGAGUACUGAAGGACUAUGACGGCAGUGACAACCCCAACACUGUAAAUUCCUUCACUGUGUUGUCCUGUUUAUUUCAUUCUAUCUCAUUGUACUUUUGUGUAAAUAGAGUUAUGAUGUUGUAAUCAUGAGAAAUGAUGAUCAUUGGAGCCGAUUGUUAGAGAUGAUCAUCUUUCAUUAAAUAUAGGAUACUAUGUUAUUUGUAAAUUUAAUUGUUAAAAUAAUUUGUAUUUUUAAAUUUAACACUUCGAGGACACAGGACGUCAAUUAACGUCCUCGCGAAAAUGGCACAGUGCCCGCAGGACGUAUAUUAACGCCUACUUUCUUAAAAAUCGGUAUAAAAUCAUAGCGGGCGCUACGUCCCGUGGCCACUUGCCCUCCUGCAAGUUUAAACAUGCCUCAGGUCAUCCACCACUUUGCCACAUGAUAGGGUGGAUGGCUGACCAAUUAAAUUGAGUUUUGAGCGCUGCGCUUCCUCAAGUUUCCUCCCCUCCCAACCUCUACUGACCUAUUUUUAAUCUGCCGUUAUUUGGCAAUUGUACUUUGCGCGCUUCUUCUUGUCACUUUUUUUUUUUUGCUUAAUAUUUUUAUUUGAAGUUUCUAGAUAUUUUCAAUAGACAUUUUGGAUAAAAAUGAAUCCUGAUCAGCCCAGUACAUCCAAAGUUUUCUCCUCUUGCCCAUCUCCAGAGUGGGAGAUUUAUGACCCCCAUCUUUUGAUUCUGGAUCAGAAUUAGAUUAUUCUUUUGAGGAUCCAGAUUUCACACUCCAUGCUAACUCUGAUGAAGAUAUUGAUUCGGAUUCACAGAAAUAUAUGUUGAGGGACCAAGAGAUGAAGAGGCUCCUGCAACAACAAGGUCUCCUCUGGUAAGUGAUGACUGGAUUGAAACUACUACAUCCACGAUACCCAGACCUCUGUUUACUGCCCAACCUGGACCAAGGGCCGAGUUAUUUCCAGAACCCAACUCUCCUUACCAGAUAUUCAAAAAAUUUAUUGAUGAGGAUUUUUUGGUAAUCUGAAACUUGAGACUAACCGCUAUGCUAGGGCAACCAUAGACAGAGAAAGAAAAAAGGAUCCUUUGAAUCCUAGGAGUCAUUUAGAAAUGUGGAAAGCUUUUCUGUGUCUGAGCUCAAGAUAUUUAUGGCUAUAAUAAUUCACAUGAGCCUUGUUGUAAAGACCAGAUUGAAAGAUUAUUGGUCCAACCCGCAGUGAACUUAGGACAACUUACUGCAGAGAUGUGGGGAUGAUCAGACCACGGUUUGAAGCCAUUCUCUCCAUGCUUCACCUAAAUGACAACGCUUCCUAUGUGGCUUUUGGUCAACCAGGCCAUGAUCCUCUCCAUAAAAUUAGGACAUUCCUUGAUGCUCUGGUCCACAAAUUCAAAACAUAUUACUAUCCCUGCCAACCUUUGACUAUUGACGAAGCUAUAUGUCCUUUUAGAGGAAGAAUACGGUUCAGAAUAUAUAUCAAAGGAAAGCCACACAAAUAUGGGAUCAAGAUAUUUGAACUUUGUGAAUCAAGUUCAGGAUAUGCCUGCAACAUAGAAGUGUACACGGGGAAGCAGCCUGGUCAAGGUGCAGACUACAAGAAAAUGAGUCGACACCGACCAUGGCCACACCUCCGCCUCCACCAUCUGCACAUAUGGAGGAUAAUCCGACCCGGACCAGUUGGAAGAUGUCGCAAGUUCUAUAUCGCGAAUUCAUGAAAGAACCCGACUUGGGGCCUACGUCCCAAUCGGGAAUCGACCAUUUAGAUCUCGUUGAUGCGACAUCGAUGGUGAAUUCCUGGCGAAUCUGGAAAGGUUUUUUCCGUUUGGAAAAUUCAAUAAUCUUUGGAAGCCUGAUAUUGUGACCCGCACCAAGAAUUGUACCAUAGCUCUCCUUAUUCACAAUAUCGUCUUUUCCGCAAUUGUUCCUUGACCCCUUUUCUUCUUUGACCUGUAAUUGAAGAGUAAAUAAAUAGUGUUUUACGUGUUACAUACAUACAUACAUACAUACAUUUUACUUGGUAAAUUAGGGUUAGCCAGACGGCGAUCCCUAUCUUAAGAAAUUUUUCUGCCUUUAAGUAACUUUGUGCUACUUCCUGUGUGGCCCGACGGCAAUUGUACGGCUACGCCUUUAAAAUGUCAAAAGGAAAAGGGAAGAACUGGGGGAAAGCUUGGAAUCAGUCUGAUGAUUCCAACCAAGCACAGGCCGAGUGGCCGUGGCGGUGGCAGCCGUCAGUCACAGACUGAGGACAAUUAGUCAGCUCCUCCCUUCCGCCCCUUCCGAGGGGGGAAAGGAAAGUCAAAAGGCCGGGUGGACUCCGCAGCUACGGCGCCACCACCCCUGAGGGGCCAGGAGCGCAUCCUAGAGAUGCCCAAACCUGCGCACCCCCUCCAUGACAUCUACACCGCUCAGAAAUGACCCUCUCUGGAAAGAGGCACUUGGUGUUGCCCAGGAUUCGAACUUGUACCCUGAGCCUGACUAUAACUAUGUGUGUCCAGGGUUCUUCGGGUGGAACACCUUGGUGGAGGAAACCUACCUGCGCCUCACUGCAUCCGGCGCCUCCUUCGCCAAAAGGAUUUCCCCCGGGACAUUUGCAUAUUACGUGGGGCUUCAAGGCCAUCGCGAGGGUUCUCGAGCUCUCAGAUUUGAGCCCCCGUGGUACCACAGUCCCUGGGAGAGACUUAAUCCGCGCAAUGAAGUAUGCUGGAACCCACUUCCCGGAGCGAAUAUCCCUCUUCCUCUCCGGAUUGGGUGACGCCGCGUCUUUAGGCGGAGUGAAAUACAUCUUCACAAUGCCAAGCCUAGAGUAUGCCGUUGCCAACAACAACACCCCUGGUUGGUAUGGACGUUUGGCCAGAACACGUCACUGGCUGUACAUGGCCUACCCAUCAUCAGGCCUAGCGGCAUCCCGCAUCAUGGCGGAGCUUGGUAACGUCAACGGACGUUGGCCCUUGCCCGCGGACAUGAACCCACUGGAGGAAGGAGCAGGCCUUCCCACCCAGAAUAUUGUGGGUUAUGGGCAAGUGGAGCCUCUGGAACAGCGGCACGUGAGGCCUUGCUUCGCUGUGGGGUAGCCCCCAAACUGUUCCCAACUGAGAACCCCACCAUAGCUCUGAACCACGGCAUCCUGUCA